AUGAGAUUGUGGGGUCUUCUCCUUUGCCUGGUGACAGCUCCUCAAGGUGUCCUGUCCGAGGUGCAGCUGCAGGAGUCGGGCCCAGGACUGGUGAAGCCCUCGCAGACCCUCUCCCUCACCUGCGAUGUCUCUGGUUACUCCAUCACCAGUGGUUACUACUGGCACUGGAUCCGCCAGCCCACGGGGAAGAGCCUUGAGUGGAUGGGAUACAUUAAUUAUGGUGGAAGCACAUAUUAUAACCCGUCCCUCGAGAGCCGCACCUCCAUCACCAGAGACACGUCCAAGAACCAGUUCUCCCUGCAGCUGAGCUCUGUGACCGACGAGGACACAGGCGUGUAUUACUGUGCGAGAGACACAGUGACAGGAAAAUGGAGAUUUCACCAUUGUGAUUACUAUGGCUUGGACUUCUGGGGCCGAGGGAUCGUGGUCACUGUCUCUUCAGCCAGCACCAAGGCCCCCUCAGUCUUCCCCCUGGCACCCAGCUGCAAGAGCACGGAGGGCUCCACGGUGACUCUGGGCUGCCUGGUGAAGGGCUAUUUCCCUGAGCCAGUGACCGUGUCCUGGAACCAAGGCGCCCUGUCCAGCGGUGUGCACACCUUCCCGUCUGUCCUGCAGUCCUCGGGGCUCUACUCCCUCAGCAGCAUGGUGACCGUGCCCACCAGCACCUGGCCCAGCCAGAAAGUCACCUGCAAUGUAGCCCACCCGGCCAGCAGCACCAAGGUGGACAAGAUGAUUGAGCCCCGUGCCUCCAAACCUGACUCCGGCACCACGUGUCCCAAGUGCAAAUGUUCUGAUAACCAGGGAGGACCUUCGGUCUUCAUCUUUCCCCCAAAACCCAAGGACACCCUCAUGAUCUCCCUCACCCCUGAGGUCACAUGCGUGGUGGUGGACGUGAGCCAGGAUGACCCUGAUGUCCAGAUCAGCUGGUACAUGGACGGUGAGCAGGUGCACACGGCCCAGACUUCCAGGGAGGAGCAGUUCAACAGCACGAUACGCGUGGUCAGCGUCCUGCCCAUCCGGCACCAGGACUGGCUGAAGGGCAAGGAAUUCAAGUGCAAGGUCCAGAACAAAGCCCUCCCAGCCCCCGUCGAGAGAACCAUCUCCAAAGCUAAAGGGCAGGCCCGGAGUCCACAGGUGUACGUCAUGGCCCCACCCCGGGAGGAGAUGACCCAGAGAACUGUCAGCUUGACCUGCCUGGUCAAAAACUUCUACCCCGAUGAAAUCCUCGUCGAGUGGGAGAGUGAAGGAAAGCCACAGAACAACUACAAGACCACCCCAUCCGUGCUGGACAGCGACGGCACCUACUUCCUCUACAGCAAGCUCACAGUGGACAAGAGCUCGUGGCUGAGUAGGAGUGUCUACACAUGCUCUGUCAUGCACGAGGCCCUGCACAACCACUAUGUGCAGAAGCCCCUCUCCCACAAUCCGGCGCUGCAACCCGACGAGAGCUGUGCCGAGGCCCAGGACGGGGAGCUGGACGGGCUGUGGACGACCAUCACCAUCUUCAUCACGCUCUUCCUGCUCAGCGUGUGCUACAGCGCCACUGUCACCGUCUUCAAGGUGAAGUGGAUCUUCUCCUCGGUCGUGGAGCUGAAGCAUACCAUCGUCCCCGACUACAGGAACAUGAUCGGGCAGGGGGCUUAG
Cynocephalus volans (Philippine flying lemur) is the source of this 1644-nucleotide non-coding RNA. The record is from the annotation of a RefSeq genome assembly. Lineage: Eukaryota; Metazoa; Chordata; Mammalia; Dermoptera; Cynocephalidae.